GGAAGGAUCAUUAUUAGAGAGCAAAGAGAGUGUUGUGGUGGGGGGUUUAGGGUUCGACGCCCCCCUCAUUACACGAUUAUCACGAAAAUGUGGAACGAGUUUGGAGUCAUGUGUGGACGCGCGCGGGGACACUUGUUUCCCGCACCGGACAAGAAUUUCGAAUGACGCAUCUGCGAAUAUUUUACAUGAUAUAAAAUAGUGUACAACUCUUGGCAAUGGAUAUCUUGGUCCCCACAACGAUGAAGAACGCAGCGAAAUGCGAUACGUCAUGCGAAUUGCAGAAUUCAGUGAAUCAUCAAAUCUUUGAACGCAAGUUGCGCGGAGCAGAGUCCUGCCCCGCAUGCCUCUUUGAGUGUCGGUUUUCGAGUAUCUGGCGUGUUUCGGCGCGAGAGGAGUCUGGGUGUCGGGGGGGCGCAUGCGCAUGCCCCGUUUCCUGAAACAUUAAACAUACAGACACGCGCACUGGGACAUUGGAACUCGCUCCAAGUCGCGUCUGUUCACACACACAAACAAGAUCUCAAAUGAGGCAAGACUACCCGCCGAAUUUAAGCAUAUAAUUAAGCGGAGGAAGAGAAACUAACCAGGAUUCCCUCAGUAACGGCGAGUGAAGCGGGAAGAGCUCAAACCGAAAAUCACUGCCCGGAGACGGACAGCGAAUUGUGGUCUAUGGAGACGAGUUCAGCGGCGGCGCCGGCCAAAGUCCGUUGGAAGACGGCGUCGGAGAGGGUGACAAUCCCGUAUCUGGCUGGGGAUCGACCGCCGCGUACGAACCGCUCUCUACGAGUCGGGUUGCUUGGGAGUGCAGCCCUAAGUGGGUGGUAAAUUUCAUCCAAAGCUGAAUACGUGUGGGGGACCGAUAGCGAACAAGUACCGUGAGGGAAAGAUGAAAAGAACUUUGAAAAGAGAGUCAAAAGUGCUUGAAAUUGCCACGACUAAAGGGAUGACAACUAGUAUCGGCCCUGGCGAUCUAACUGUGAGCCGCGUGGCAGGUGUCGUGUCGCCGAUUGGCGCGAGCCUUCGUGGGCGCGGCGCGCAUGUCGCGGCCUAGCGGGUUCUGUCGCCGGGCUCAGGUCAGGAUGGAUUCUGGGGAUUAUUGUCGUCGAGAAGGGCUGCGGCAAGGUGGCUGCCUCUCCGGAGGCAGAUCUUAUAGGUCGCGGUCGAUGGACGGCCCGGGAUCGAGGAUAUCAUGCAGAAUUGGACGCCUUCGGGCUGGGCGCCCUGGCCCCGCUUUGGUCAGGACGUCGCCGACCGGGAGACAUGGUCUCCGGGCCGGUGGGCGUUCGCCAACGGGCCGCGGGUCACGCACCACUGUCCAAUCAGGAUCCUGACGAAAUGGUUGCCAUUCACCCGUCUUGAAACACGGACCAAGGAGUCUUACAUGUAUGCGAGUGAUCGGGUGGGAAGCUCGUUCGCGCAAUGAAGGUGACAGGGAGGAUGCGACGGCGGCGGGCAACCGUCGCCGGCAGCAUCGGGCGGCCGCAGCUGCGGUACGACCCGGAGCAUAAAUGUAGGGACCCGAAAGAUGGUGAACUAUGCUUGAGCAAGACGAAGCCAGGGGAAACUCUGGUGGAAGUCUGAAGCGAUACUGACGUGCAAAUCGUUCGUCUGACUUGAGUAUAGGGGCGAAAGACUAAUCGAACCGUCUAGUAGCUGGUUCCCUC
Molecule: unclassified non-coding RNA, 1661 nt
Filed under: uncultured fungus
Lineage: Eukaryota; Fungi
Description: sequence contains 18S rRNA gene, ITS1, 5.8S rRNA gene, ITS2, 28S rRNA gene
Rfam family: Eukaryotic large subunit ribosomal RNA (bases 513-1661)
Source: RNAcentral